UACGGGGGGGGCAAGCGUUGUUCGGAAUUACUGGGCGUAAAGCGUGCGCAGGCGGUCUGUUAAGACCGAUGUGAAAUCCCCGGGCUUAACCUGGGAACUGCAUUGGUGACUGGCAGGCUUUGAGUGUGGCAGAGGGAGGUAGAAUUCCACGUGUAGCAGUGAAAUGCGUAGAGAUGUGGAGGAACACCAGUGGCGAAGGCGGCAUCCUGGACCGAUACUGACGCUGAGGAGCGAAAGCCAGGGGAGCAAACGGG
Molecule: ribosomal RNA, 254 nt
Filed under: uncultured bacterium
Lineage: Bacteria
Description: partial 16S ribosomal RNA
Rfam family: Bacterial small subunit ribosomal RNA
Source: RNAcentral